AACGAACGCUGGCGGCAUGCCUAACACAUGCAAGUCGAACGAAGCCUUCGGGCUUAGUGGCGCACGGGUGCGUAACGCGUAUGCAACCUACCUUAAACAGGGGAAUAGCCUCUCGAAAGAGAGAUUAAUACCGCAUAAUAUAUAUUUAAUGCAUAUUAGAUAUAUUAAACCUACGGGGGUUUAAGAUGGGCAUGCGUGACAUUAGCUAGUUGGUGAGGUAACGGCUCACCAAGGCAACGAUGUCUAGGGGGUCUGAGAGGAUGUCCCCCCACACUGGUACUGAGACACGGACCAGAC
Molecule: ribosomal RNA, 297 nt
Filed under: uncultured bacterium
Lineage: Bacteria
Description: partial 16S ribosomal RNA
Rfam family: Bacterial small subunit ribosomal RNA
Source: RNAcentral